Symsagittifera roscoffensis is the source of this 4486-nucleotide RNA transcript. RefSeq lists it as uncharacterized. The record is from RefSeq and is a predicted model, not a curated record. The transcript has 3 exons. Lineage: Eukaryota; Metazoa; Xenacoelomorpha; Acoela; Convolutidae.
UAUGGAACAAAACACAAUCCAAGUAGUGGAAACAUUUACGGUGAAAAAUAUGUGAAUAACAUUGAAAAAUUGGCAUUACGGAACACAAGUAAUCUUUACUCGAGAGUUGGGGUAAUAAAGCGAGAUAUAAUAGCACUGAAAAGUGAAUAGAAACAUUACAAGGCCAAACUGUGCACCGGAUAGGCUUAAAACUGUUUGUCUGAUUGUUCCAGGAUUCCAUAGACAAACCUUUAAACAUGUUCCAAAAAGUCAGUGGAUUCCACUUACAAAACUAUCUUAGAUUUCGGGUACAAAUACCUGUUACGUAAAUUUUGUCGGCACAUUUGUUGUGCCGAGGAUCCCGCAACAUGCGAAUAUAGCUAUUUGUUCUGGAUUCCGCAACUGUAAGUGGAAUCCGCAAAUUUACGGAGUCUCCAAAAAUUCCGAAUUUGGUUCUUACUGAGCUUGCAUUUGAACAAUUGAAAACUAGAGCUAGCAUUUUUGUCUAUAGCAAUGCGAAAUUUAAAGACAAGGACUUAACCAAUGCCACUGGAAUCCGCGAACAAAUCUCAAAACAUUUGUUAACUAAUUUGGUGGAUAUCAGCUUUUUUGGAUUCGUUAGGUUGAGAGUUUACGGAAAUACAACGUUCAGCAUAUCGCCAUUUUAAGUCAGUAUUUGGGAUUACGCCAAUCUCAAAUACUGAUUUUGGAAGCAUAACGCCGAAUAAAAUCAAAAUUUGUAGUCUUUGGUUUGAGAUUGUGCGGAAACACAACACAUAGCAUAUCGCUAAUUUAGGUCAGUAUUUGGGAUUGACGCAAUCCCAAAUACUGAUUUUGGAAGCUUAGAGCCGAACAAACUAAGCAAUUGAUGUCCAUGGCUUUAAAGUGUUUGGAAAGACAGCGCACAGCUUAUUGAUGAAUUAAGUCAGUUUUUGGGAUUGCAUCAGUAUUUGGUAUCGAAAUUCAGAUCAAUGUAGGCCAGUAUUUAGGAUCAGGAGGUUAGCAUUUGGGAUUGAGAUUGCUUUUUCUGAUGUACAGUAAUUAAACGAUAUAAUUUUAAACGCUAUACUACACACAUAUAAAUAUAUAAACGGAAUACGCAAACAAAAUGCAGAUUUUACUUACAAUUUGCGGAUUCCACUUACACGUUGCGGAUUCCGCUUACAGUUGCGGAAUCCGCAACAGCUCAUUUUAACUAAACAAAUGUCUUAUUAUUUGCUUGUGGAGUCCACAAACUGUUCUGGAUUCCGCAAGUACGGUUGCGGAUUCCGCAAAACCGCCUAAUUCCGGAGCGAUUUUGAGCAGUGCAAUGUUAUAGGUAUUUGUUUGUGGAAUCCAAAAUAGCGACAGCGAAAAAGAUCAAAGAAAAGUAGCAAAGUUGCGGAUUCCGCGACAAAACUGAUUUUGGCCUGUUGCGGAAUCCUCUUACAAUGCACAGAAUGCACAGUUUGGCCUCGUAAUGAAGUGCGUGAAAGGUUUAAUCAGGGAUGCAACACGAAUUCUAAAUUAGGGAUUAAAUACGAGGAUGAUCUGUCAGUAUCAAUUAAGUGAUCUUAACUAGUGGACUAAGUCAACCGGUCUAUUGGGUUUUAAACAGAUCUUUCAUGGUGCAGAAAAUGACAACGAUGUAAUCGCUACUGAAAUAAAAAAACAGGAAGAUUAUGAAGCUGAGGUGGUUGUAUAUCGAGCACUUGAGAAAUUGAAGGAGCCCCUUAUUGUGUUUCAUAGUUUUGAUUACAGUCACGACCAGUUUCGAAUCUGGGACUCGAAUCAUGAUAGAAAAACCUGCAGUCGUUCUGGGGUAAAACCUAACUGUAAAAACGCGCAUGCAGAUGAAGCCGAGCAUGAUUUCGUUGUAUUUGGACCUGAUUACAUCGUAAUGAUAGAAGUCAAGAAUCCAUCACUAGCUCAGGCUAAGACACACAACAAAACGAGUAAAAGCAAAGAGAAAAACCCCGACGUUGGUCCUAAUAAGUUAAGGAGCGAAGCCAAUAAUCUAACUCAAGCCACAACAAGUAAGCUAAAUGACAACAUAGAGGAAAACACUGAAGUCGCUCCUAAUGAUUCAAGAAACAAAAUCAAGGAUUCAUCGCUAUCUCCAUCAUCAAAAACUUUGUUUCGGGUGCCAGGAUAUCAUCUAUUCGGAAAUUCCAUCAAAAUGUCAAAAGCUAAGAAACGAUCACUUGCUCAGACUAAGACAGACAACAAAACGAGUGAAAGCAAAGAGGAAAACCCUGAUGUUGCUCCUAAUAAGUUAAGGAGCGAAGCCAAUAAUCUACCGCAAGCCACAACAAGUCAGCCAAAUGACAACAUAGAGGAAAACUCUGAAGUCGCUCUUAAUGAUUCAAGAAACAAAGUCAAGGAUUCAUCGCUAUCUCCAACAUCAGAAAAAAAAUCGGAAAAAAAACCUCCAAUUUUGGUUGCUAUUGAGAAAGCUACUACACAACUCGAGAAAGGAAUGAAACUCCUUGAGAAAAUUUCUGAUUCCACUCAAACAGAAAAUGGAAUUUGUUCCCAAAUCCGCGUUUUCCGUUUUGUUGCCUUCCCAAAUAUUUGCAAAAACCAAACCAACAUUGUCGAACAAAACAUCCCCCUAAACAUUCAUGCCAUCUACAAAGAUGAUUUCAAAAAAUUCCACAAAAUUUGGGCGAAUAUAAAGAACGAAGGAGCAAGUGUUCUUGGAAACAAAACGCUUUCAGGUGACAUAACAAAAAUACAGAGCGCAAUUUUGCGAUUAUUUACCUCGCAUAAGGGACAAAAAAAUGAAAAAUGUCUUAGUUUGAAAGAAUGUGUCGUAGAGAUUGAUCAAAAAUUAAGAAAUUCAGAAAUUACCUUCAGAGGAAACAAUACUCCUCCAAACCCAUCAGUGAUCAAAACAAGUGAACUCAAAGAUCCGCCAUUUGUGGUGAAAAAUAUCAACAUUUUCGAAACCUGUCUAAAGCUGAAAUACAUAACAAAUGAGCAAAGAAACGCCUUUGAAGAUGAAAACUACCCUAUUGUAAUCACUGGGGCAGCUGGGUCCGGAAAGACGAUUGUUCUGCUUGCUAAAGCUAUUCACACAGUUUUGACUCAACCCGGAACUAAAAUUUUUAUUUUAUUUCAAGGUGACUUUAAACUAGCUCGCUAUUCAGAAUAUGUUGAACGAGCUGGUAUCAAAGUUUACGAAUACGGUUUUGAUGAAGAAGACUUGAAUAAGCUUGUUGACAAACUCGCAGAGCAUGACAUCAUCAUCUGCCAUGGAUAUCCAUUAAAUUAUUUUGAUUUUAUUUUAAAGGCAAAUGGUAAGUUCUUCCCUGAAUUGAAUCUGCUUUUGUUCGCAGACGAUUCUCAAGAUGAUGAUUUCUUUUGGCAUCCUUAUGACUUGGAAUGCUGGAGUUGCUUGGUAGCGGAUUUUACCCAAGAAAGCCAAGUGUAUCGUUCAGAUUUACAACAAUGGCUCGCCAGAGUAAAAGAGGAGAGAAACUUCAAAAUUCAUUGGCUAGGAAGGAGCUAUAGGAACACACACAACAUAGUUUCACAACUCAUUCAGCUCGGUGAGGAAAAAGCGAAGCAUAAACGGUCUAAUGGGAUAGAAAGAGAUGGACUGGUACUACAACUCUCACCCAUCCCAAAACAUGGACACUUUAUUCAUGGACCUGAAAUCAUUGUAAAGAUAUACCGGUUACCAGAAGAAUUAAAACAAAACGACUAUCAUUGUUUCGUGGACAAGCUGAUUGACAAAGAAUAUAAUAAGUAUUCCGAAUUUUGCGUGGAUUCCCAAAUCAGCUGCGCCUUUUUAUUGAAAAAUAGCUUGGGGUCUCACUUCAAAAAGAUUGAACCAUCAUUUAUCUUCUCCAAGAAGUUGGAACAAAAGUAUCCACACCUCCGUUUUUCCUUCUGUCAAAGUGACCCUAUGUGUUUAGUCAUUGGGUCUACCGAGUUUACUGUUUGUCACAUUAUCUUGAUUUUAUUUGAUCGGGAAGAUCAGGAUGUACAAUAUCUUUACAAUGCGAUAUCAAGAGCCCGAGUAAUGUGCCGUGUUCACGUAAUAGUCAAUGACAAAAAUAGUAGAAAUCAAUUGGAUUAUUUAUUGCGAUUUUUUCGAGAUGCAAGAAUUGAAGACGAAUAUGAAAAUGUAGCCGAGCUAUCGAAUUUGAUGUGCAAGACAACAUAUGAAGAGCUUCGUUAUUGCCAUUGCUUGUCGUCAUAUCCAUCAUCUCCAACAGCUAUAGAAGUCGAAACAACGCUACAAGUUCAGUGGAAAACAGCUGCAGAUACAAUCUUGAGAGGAUCGAGUGGCAAGAGCACACACGAUACAGCAAUGGAGAUCCUCAUUGCAGUAGAACAUACCUGCCCUACGAGUGGCAUUAUAAUAGUCACAGUCCAUGCUAAAGAUAGUGACUAUAGUUUAAAGUGUGAAGAUAGAGUUGGUGAGACAGCAGAGUGGAUAGACAGGACAGACUGUCCCUACAACAUGCACAUCUACACUGUCUAUCGUCAAUACCAUAACAACAGAAGAGCUGCAACU